Molecule: non-coding RNA, 71 nt
Organism: Furculomyces boomerangus
Lineage: Eukaryota; Fungi; Kickxellomycota; Harpellomycetes; Harpellales; Harpellaceae
Source: the annotation of a GenBank genome assembly
GCGCUAGUAGUAUAGAGGUAAAAUAGAUGCUUCCCAAGCAUUUGUCCCGGGUUCGAUUCCCGGCUGGCGCA